UACGUAGGGUGCGAGCGUUGUCCGGAAUUAUUGGGCGUAAAGGGCUCGUAGGCGGUUUGUCGCGUUGUUCGUGAAAACUCACAGCUCAACUGUGGGCGUGCGGGCGAUACGGGCAGACUGGAGUACUGCAGGGGAGACUGGAAUUCCUGGUGUAGCGGUGGAAUGCGCAGAUAUCAGGAGGAACACCGGUGGCGAAGGCGGGUCUCUGGGCAGUAACUGACGCUGAGGAGCGAAAGCGUGGGGAGCGAACAGG
Molecule: ribosomal RNA, 253 nt
Filed under: uncultured bacterium
Lineage: Bacteria
Description: partial 16S ribosomal RNA
Rfam family: Bacterial small subunit ribosomal RNA
Source: RNAcentral